RNAcentral lists this ribosomal RNA (361 nucleotides) under uncultured bacterium. Its description in RNAcentral is "bacterial SSU rRNA". It matches the Rfam family "Bacterial small subunit ribosomal RNA", at positions 29 to 380 of the family's 1533-position model. The record is from RNAcentral.
AAUGAACGCUGGCGGCGCGCCUAAUACAUGCAAGUCGAGCGAGAAGACGUAGCAAUACGUUUGUAAAGCGGCGAACGGGUGAGGAAUACAUGGGUAACCUACCCUCGAGUGGGGAAUAACUAGCCGAAAGGUUAGCUAAUACCGCGUACGCUCCUUGGACUUCGGUUCAGGGAGGAAAGCGAUACCGUGGGUAUCGCGCUCUUGGUUGGGCUCAUGUCCUACCAGCUUGUUGGUGAGGUAACGGCUCACCAAGGCUUCGACGGGUAGCUGGUCUGAGAGGACGAUCAGCCACACUGGCACUGCGACACGGGCCAGACUCCUACGGGAGGCAGCAGUAAGGAAUAUUGCGCAAUGGGCGAAA